Long non-coding RNA from Mercenaria mercenaria, 565 nucleotides. RefSeq lists it as uncharacterized. NCBI's taxonomy places the organism in Eukaryota, Metazoa, Mollusca, Bivalvia, Venerida, Veneridae. The transcript has 2 exons. The record is from RefSeq and is a predicted model, not a curated record.
UGCCAAUAUAUGUUAAAAAGGAUUGCUGAGUGAUUGGCAUGCAAGACAUAAUUGACGUAUUAUAUAUUCCAAAAGCUGUACGACAUAAUAUUUGAGAAGUGGAGAACAUCCUCUAACGGAAUUACCCCCAGACAAGGAUUUCAACGCUAAACUAGGUCUCCGUACCAAACACGAAUAUGUCGGUUGCUGUUUGAAGGGCCACGUGUUCAUCACAAUUGCUCGGGAAAAAUGAGAAACUACUGUAUCGCGCCAACGAAAUGUUCUUAUUAAGGGGUUUUAGAUGUGCGCAGGGAAGGAACAAGAGUGACUGCAACCGAAUUAUAAUUACCACGUAGCAGAAUGGCACAUCGAUUGAAUCUACACUAGAAAGCGGUUCAGGAUUUAACAUUUGACUAAUGUUCAGAUUUUGCUUGCAAAUCUUAGUGCACCCAAUUACAUGUUAAAACUCGAAGUGAGCUUGAACAGUGGUAGAACAAUUUUACUUGCAAUGUUAAUUAUUUUACUUUUCUUAAACUGUUUAGUUGUUGAAAAUGUUGUUGUAUAAAAGAUUAUUUAAAAUAGGAAA